AGAUGGCGGCCGGCGCACGGGUGAGUAACACGUAUCCAACCUGCCGAUAACUCGGGGAUAGCCUUUCGAAAGAAAGAUUAAUACCCGAUGGUAUAAUCAGACCGCAUGGUCUUGUUAUUAAAGAAUUUCGGUUAUCGAUGGGGAUGCGUUCCAUUAGGCAGUUGGUGAGGUAACGGCUCACCAAACCUUCGAUGGAUAGGGGUUCUGAGAGGAAGGUCCCCCACAUUGGAACUGAGACACGGUCCAA
RNAcentral lists this ribosomal RNA (247 nucleotides) under uncultured bacterium. RNAcentral describes it as "partial 16S ribosomal RNA". It matches the Rfam family "Bacterial small subunit ribosomal RNA", at positions 86 to 334 of the family's 1533-position model. The record is from RNAcentral.